RNAcentral lists this ribosomal RNA (254 nucleotides) under uncultured bacterium. Its description in RNAcentral is "partial 16S ribosomal RNA". It matches the Rfam family "Bacterial small subunit ribosomal RNA", at positions 524 to 776 of the family's 1533-position model. The record is from RNAcentral.
UACAGAGGGUGCGAACGUUGUUCGGAAUUACUGGGCAUAAAGCGCGCGUAGGCGGCCACGUAAGUGUCUUGUGAAAUCCCACGGCUCACCCGUGUGAAGCGUGAGGCAUACUGCGUGGCUAGAGUGUGGUAGGGGAGAGCGGAACUCCUGGUGGAGCGGUGAAAUGCGUAGAUAUCAGGAGGAACACCGGCGGCGAAGGCGGCUCUCUGGUCCACUACUGACGCUGAGGUGCGAAAGCUAGGGUAGCGAACGGG